GACUCUAAUCUGGUUGUGAACAACGCUGAAGAGGAAAGCAAGGAAGACUAUGUCAAGACAUGACAGGAAUUACUCCGCAGUUACAUCUAGACUUAUGAACUUUUGCUCUGAUACCACCUUUGUCACGACCCGUUUCCGUGGGCCGGACCGGCACUAGGGCCCAGGUAAGCUUAAGGCCCCCGAGGCCCGUAGUAAGCCUAAAU
RNAcentral lists this long non-coding RNA (203 nucleotides) under Jatropha curcas. RNAcentral's name for it is "long non-coding RNA (JCUR_LNC001107)". The record is from RNAcentral. Lineage: Eukaryota; Viridiplantae; Streptophyta; Magnoliopsida; Malpighiales; Euphorbiaceae.